AGUGCUUUUAUGGAAACAUAGGGCACCAUAUUGGUGCAAUUUUCGUUAUUUGCCCCUUUUAACGCUCCGUGAAAGCGAUCACAAAGCAACUCUGCAAUACUUGUUUGC
Molecule: non-coding RNA, 108 nt
Filed under: Kosakonia cowanii
Lineage: Bacteria; Pseudomonadati; Pseudomonadota; Gammaproteobacteria; Enterobacterales; Enterobacteriaceae
Also listed under: 1 other name
Description: ES222 sRNA
Rfam family: ES222 sRNA
About the family: Differentially expressed under several chemical stress and fermentation conditions.
Source: RNAcentral